UACAGAGGUCCCAAGCGUUGUUCGGAUUCACUGGGCGUAAAGGGUGCGUAGGCGGUCGGGUAAGUCUGAUGUGAAAUCUCCAAGCCUAACUUGGAAACUGCAUUGGAUACUGUCCGGCUAGAGGAAUGGAGGGGAGACUGGAAUACUUGGUGUAGCAGUGAAAUGCGUAGAUAUCAAGUGGAACACCAGUGGCGAAGGCGAGUCUCUGGACAUUUCCUGACGCUGAGGCACGAAAGCCAGGGGAGCAAACGGG
RNAcentral lists this ribosomal RNA (253 nucleotides) under uncultured bacterium. RNAcentral's name for it is "partial 16S ribosomal RNA". It matches the Rfam family "Bacterial small subunit ribosomal RNA", at positions 524 to 776 of the family's 1533-position model. The record is from RNAcentral.